Molecule: ribosomal RNA, 509 nt
Filed under: uncultured bacterium
Lineage: Bacteria
Description: bacterial SSU rRNA
Rfam family: Bacterial small subunit ribosomal RNA
Source: RNAcentral
AGAGAUGCUUUGGUGCCUUCGGGAACUCUGAGACAGGUGCUGCAUGGCUGUCGUCAGCUCGUGUUGUGAAAUGUUGGGUUUAAGUCCCGCAACGAGCGCAACCCUUAUCCUUUUGUUGCCAGCGGUCCGGCCGGGAACUCAAAGGAGACUGCCAGUGAUAAACUGGAGGAAGGUGGGGAUGACGUCAAGUCAUCAUGGCCCUUACGAGUAGGGCUACACACGUGCUACAAUGGCGCAUACAAAGAGAAGCGACCUCGCGAGAGCAAGCGGACCUCAUAAAGUGCGUCGUAGUCCGGAUUGGAGUCUGCAACUCGACUCCAUGAAGUCGGAAUCGCUAGUAAUCGUAGAUCAGAAUGCUACGGUGAAUACGUUCCCGGGCCUUGUACACACCGCCCGUCACACCAUGGGAGUGGGUUGCAAAAGAAGUAGGUAGCUUAACCUUCGGGAGGGCGCUUACCACUUUGUGAUUCAUGACUGGGGUGAAGUCGUAACAAGGUAGGCGUAGACGU